Molecule: ribosomal RNA, 245 nt
Filed under: uncultured bacterium
Lineage: Bacteria
Description: partial small subunit ribosomal RNA
Rfam family: Bacterial small subunit ribosomal RNA
Source: RNAcentral
AGGACGAACGCUGGCGGCGUGCCUAACACAUGCAAGUCGAUCGAGAAAGUGGAGCAAUCCAUGAGUAAAGAGGCGCACGGGUGAGUAACACGUGACUAACCUACCCUCGAGUGGGGAAUAACCUGGGGAAACCCGGGCUAAUACCGCAUAAUACCCACGGGUCAAAGGAGCAAUUCGCUUGAGGAGGGGGUCGCGGCAGAUUAGUUAGUUGGCGGGGUAAUGGCCCACCAAGACGAUGAUCUGUA